RNAcentral lists this ribosomal RNA (494 nucleotides) under uncultured bacterium. RNAcentral's name for it is "partial 16S ribosomal RNA". It matches the Rfam family "Bacterial small subunit ribosomal RNA", at positions 29 to 507 of the family's 1533-position model. The record is from RNAcentral.
ACGAACGCUGGCGGCGUGCCUAAUACAUGCAAGUAGAACGCUGAAGGAGGAGCUUGCUUCUCUGGAUGAGUUGCGAACGGGUGAGUAACGCGUAGGUAACCUGCCUGGUAGCGGGGGAUAACUAUUGGAAACGAUAGCUAAUACCGCAUAAUAGUAGAUGUUGCACGACAUUUGCUUAAAAGGUGCAAUUGCAUCACUACCAGAUGGACCUGCGUUGUAUUAGCUAGUUGGUGGGGUAACGGCUCACCAAGGCGACGAUACAUAGCCGACCUGAGAGGGUGAUCGGCCACACUGGGACUGAGACACGGCCCAGACUCCUACGGGAGGCAGCAGUAGGGAAUCUUCGGCAAUGGACGGAAGUCUGACCGAGCAACGCCGCGUGAGUGAAGAAGGUUUUCGGAUCGUAAAGCUCUGUUGUAAGAGAAGAACGAGUGUGAGAGUGGAAAGUUCACACUGUGACGGUAUCUUACCAGAAAGGGACGGCUAACUACGUG